UACGGGGGGGGCAAGCGUUGUUCGGAAUUACUGGGCGUAAAGGGCUCGUAGGCGGCCAACUAAGUCGGACGUGAAAUCCCCAGGCUCAACCUGGGAACUGCGUCCGAUACUGGAUGGCUUGAAUCCGGGAGAGGGAUGCAGAAUUCCAGGUGUAGCGGUGAAAUGCGUAGAUAUCUGGAGGAACACCGGUGGCGAAGGCGACAUCCUGGACCGGUAUUGACGCUGAGGCGCGAAAGCGUGGGGAGCAAACAGG
Molecule: ribosomal RNA, 253 nt
Filed under: uncultured bacterium
Lineage: Bacteria
Description: partial 16S ribosomal RNA
Rfam family: Bacterial small subunit ribosomal RNA
Source: RNAcentral